AACGAACGCUGGCGGCAUGCCUAACACAUGCAAGUCGAACGAGACCUUCGGGUCUAGUGGCGCACGGGUGCGUAACGCGUGGGAACCUGCCCUUAGGUUCGGAAUAACUCCCCGAAAGGGGUGCUAAUACCGGAUAAUGUCUUCGGACCAAAGAUUUAUCGCCUUUGGAUGGGCCCGCGUUGGAUUAGCUAGUUGGUAGGGUAAAAGCCUACCAAGGCGACGAUCCAUAGCUGGUCGGAGAGGAUGAUCAGCCACACUGGGACUGAGACACGGCCCAGACUCCUACGGGAGGCAGCAGUGGGGAAUAUUGGACAAUGGGCGAAAGCCUGAUCCAGCAAGGCCGCGUGAGUGAUGAAGGCCUUAGGGUUGUAAAGCUCUUUUACCCGGGAUGAUAAUGACAGUACCGGGAGAAUAAGCUCCGGCUAACUCCGUG
RNAcentral lists this ribosomal RNA (433 nucleotides) under uncultured bacterium. Its description in RNAcentral is "partial 16S ribosomal RNA". It matches the Rfam family "Bacterial small subunit ribosomal RNA", at positions 29 to 507 of the family's 1533-position model. The record is from RNAcentral.